This 83-nucleotide small RNA is filed under the name Marmota monax (woodchuck). Lineage: Eukaryota; Metazoa; Chordata; Mammalia; Rodentia; Sciuridae. The record is from RNAcentral.
GCCAGGUGUGGUGGCACACGCCUGUAAUCCCAGUGAUUUGGGAGGCUGAGGCAGGAGGAUUGAGAGUUCAAAGCCAGUCUCAG